RNAcentral lists this ribosomal RNA (321 nucleotides) under uncultured eukaryote. RNAcentral's name for it is "partial 18S ribosomal RNA". It matches the Rfam family "Eukaryotic small subunit ribosomal RNA", at positions 1470 to 1796 of the family's 1831-position model. The record is from RNAcentral.
CCCUUAGAUGUUCUGGGCCGCACGCGUGCUACACUGAGUGGAUCAGCGGGUCAGGUUGCGCGAAAGCGUUUCCUAAUCUUUAAAUCCGCUCGUGAUGGGGAUUGACGGUUGCAAUUUUCUGUCAUGAACGAGGUAUACCUUGUAAGCGCGGGUCAUCAUCCCGCGCUGAAUACGUCCCUGCCCUUUGUACACACCGCCCGUCGCACCUACCGAUUGGAUGAUCCGGUGAAGCCUCGGGAUUGUGACCAGUUUCCUUUAUUGGGAGUUGGUUGCGAGAACUUGUCUAAACCUUAUCAUCUAGAGGAAGGUGAAGUCGUAACA